GUACACGCUGUGACUAGCAUAUCAAUAAGCGGAGGAAAAGAAACUAACAAGGAUUCCCUCAGUAACGGCGAGUGAAGCGGGAAGAGCUCAAAUUUGAAAUCUUGAAAGGUCACCUUUCACGAAUUGUAGUUUAAAGAAGUGUUUUCUGUUACGAUCGUAAUAUAAGUUCUUUGGAAUAGGACAUCACAGAGGGUGAGAAUCCCGUCUAUGAUUGCGAUUUGUAGCUUUGUGAUACACUUUCAAAGAGUCGGGUUGUUUGGGAAUGCAGCCCAAAACGGGGAGGUAAAUUUCUUCUAAGGCUAAAUAUUGGCGAGAGACCGAUAGCGAACAAGUACCGUGAGGGAAAGAUGAAAAGAACUUUGAAAAGAGAGUUAAAUAGUACGUGAAAUUGUCAAAAGGGAAGCGUUUAACACCAGUGUUGUUUUCUGAAAAUCAACCUCUGUUAGCUUUAUGCAUGUUUGUUUAGACCUAAUCAGCUAUCUUUCAUGUUCUAUUGUUUGCAGUGGUGCACUUUUCAGUUUACAGGUCAACAUCAGUUUUUUUUUACCGUAAAAAAGUUAAAGAAAGGUAGCUCAUGGCUCCGGUCGUGAGUGUUAUAGUCUUUUUCCUAUGCGGUAGGAGAGACUGAGGUCUGCAGUGUAGGCUAUUUGGCUAGAUACUCAGGUGCUAUGUGAUACCAUUUCAUAAACAACUUGUUGAUUAUGUUUUGUCUAUUGCAUACUCGCUUGUACUAUCAUACCUACGCUUAGGAUGUUGAGUAGCGACAUACGCAC
RNAcentral lists this ribosomal RNA (773 nucleotides) under uncultured Neocallimastigales. Its description in RNAcentral is "partial large subunit ribosomal RNA". The stretch from base 4 to 663 matches the Rfam family "Eukaryotic large subunit ribosomal RNA", at positions 24 to 664 of the family's 3401-position model. Lineage: Eukaryota; Fungi; Neocallimastigomycota; Neocallimastigomycetes; Neocallimastigales. The record is from RNAcentral.